AUAAAACUUAUCUCACAUUACCAAGUGUGGGUUUUAAAUUUUGCUGCAUUUGAAUAAUUGAAAAUUAUCAAUGCAGUGUUGACUGAGUUUAGUAAAGAUACUUGAUAAUUUGUAUACGUCAGCAGCGUUGACUUACAUAAUUGCUUUGAGGAACUAAGGACAACUUUAUUUUUCAAUGAUACCGGUAAAACUACAUCGUAAACGGACUCAAAUGUUUUUGAGAGAUUGGACAAUAGGAACAGUUUAUGUAUAAAAUUCUUGCGUUUGAAGUCAAUGAAUACUGUUGUCAUUUAUCUUGGAAUCAAGACAGACCACGUGGUAUCGUUUCUACAACUGUACAUAAAAAUCAAUAAAAUUAAUUUAUAACAUUUA
Long non-coding RNA from Mytilus californianus (California mussel), 372 nucleotides. RefSeq lists it as uncharacterized. The record is from RefSeq and is a predicted model, not a curated record. Lineage: Eukaryota; Metazoa; Mollusca; Bivalvia; Mytilida; Mytilidae. The transcript is spliced from 2 exons.